UCCCCUAGUAACUGCGAGUGAAGCGGGAAAAGCUCAAAUUUAAAAUCUGGCGGCAUUGGUCGUCCGAGUUGUAAUCUGGAGAAGCAUUUUCUGUGUCGGACCGUGCACAAGUUUCCUGGAACGGAAUGUCAUAGAGGGUGAGAAUCCCGUCCAUGGCACGGAUCACCGAUGCAUUGUGAUAUGCUCUCGAAGAGUCGAGUUGUUUGGGAAUGCAGCUCAAAAUGGGUGGUAAAUUCCAUCUAAAGCUAAAUAUUGGCGAGAGACCGAUAGCGAACAAGUACCGUGAGGGAAAGAUGAAAAGCACUUUGGAAAGAGAGUUAAACAGUACGUGAAAUUGUUGAAAGGGAAACGCUUGGAGUCAGUCGCGUUGGUCAGGAUUCAGUCGCUCUUACCGGAGUGGAUUACUUCCUGAUGAACGGGUCAACAUCGAUUUCGAACGGUGGACAAAGGGGAGAGAAAGGUGGCACCUUCGGGUGUGUUAUAGUCUCUCUUUCGCAUACACCGGUUGGGAUCGAGGAUCGCAGCACGCCUUUAUGGCCGGGGGUUCGCCUCACGUAACGUGCUUAGGAUGUUGGCAUAAUGGCUUUAAGCGACCCGUCUUGAAACACGGACCAAGGAGUCUAACAUGCUCGCGAGUGUUAGGGUGGAAAACCCUUGCGCGUAAUGAAAGUGAAAGUUGGGACCUUCGUCAUGGAGGGCACCGACGCCCGGCCUUGAACUCUUGUGACGGUGCUGCGGUAGAGCGCGUAUGUUGGGACCCGAAAGAUGGUGAACUAUGCCUGAAUAGGGCGAAGCCAGAGGAAACUCUGGUGGAGGCUCGUAGCGAUUCUGACGUGCAAAUCGAUCGUCAAAUUUGGG
This 858-nucleotide ribosomal RNA is filed under the name Hyphodontia arguta. RNAcentral describes it as "partial large subunit ribosomal RNA". It matches the Rfam family "Eukaryotic large subunit ribosomal RNA", at positions 76 to 915 of the family's 3401-position model. Lineage: Eukaryota; Fungi; Basidiomycota; Agaricomycetes; Hymenochaetales; Schizoporaceae. The record is from RNAcentral.